Non-coding RNA from Schistosoma margrebowiei, 45 nucleotides. The record is from Rfam. NCBI's taxonomy places the organism in Eukaryota, Metazoa, Platyhelminthes, Trematoda, Strigeidida, Schistosomatidae.
AUUUAGCUGACGAGUCCCAAAUAGGACGAAGCGCGCACCCUGGAU